GUUUGUUUGGAGUUAUAAAGAAUUUAACCUGCCCCCUGAUUAACUACUAAAUUAAAGGGCCGCAGUAUUAUAACUGUGCAAAGGUAGCAUAAUCAUUAGGUUUUUAAUUGAAAUCUCGUAUGAAUGGUUGGACAAAAGAAAGACUCUCUUUAUAUUAAGUUUUGAAUUUAACUUUUAAGUGAAAAGGCUUAAAUAUUCUAAAGGGACGAUAAGACCCUAUAAAACUUUACAUUGUCAUUAAUUUUGAUUGAAUUUAUGAAAUAAAAAUUUUAUUUGAUUAUUUGUUAUGUUGGGGAGACAUAAGUAAAAUAUUUUUUUAACUGCUUGAUAGUUAUACAAUUAUUAGUGAAUAAGUAGAAGAUCCUUUUUAAGAUUAGUAGAUUAAGUUACUUUAGGGAUAACAGUGUAAUUUCUUUUGAGAGUUCUUAUCGAAAAAGAAGGUUGCAACCUCGAUGUUGAAUUAAAAUAUCUAUAUAAUGGAGAGGUUAUAUAAGAAGGUCUGUUCGACCUUGAAAAUUUUACAUGAUUUGAGUUCAAACCGGUGUGAG
This 548-nucleotide ribosomal RNA is filed under the name Longpotamon loudiense. Its description in RNAcentral is "partial 16S rRNA". It matches the Rfam family "Bacterial large subunit ribosomal RNA", at positions 1831 to 2625 of the family's 2925-position model. The record is from RNAcentral. Lineage: Eukaryota; Metazoa; Arthropoda; Malacostraca; Decapoda; Potamidae.